RNAcentral lists this long non-coding RNA (3456 nucleotides) under Homo sapiens (human). Its description in RNAcentral is "non-protein coding lnc-PLAGL2-6:1". The record is from RNAcentral. Lineage: Eukaryota; Metazoa; Chordata; Mammalia; Primates; Hominidae.
AUGAGAUGGAACUGAGAAGUCCUGGGUGUCCCCAUCCAUGCCCCAUUUGGGAAACUCUAGUGUCAGCAAAUGGUUCAGGGAUCAAAGCAGGCUUGAAGGUGGUAGUGGCUCCUAUUAUUCAUCCGUGGCCAGAUGGCUCUUCUCAUCAAGCCCAGGCUGCUGGCUCCUGCUCCAGCGUUCCUUCUUCAGUCAGCUCAUGUCCUCCUGUACAUGGGGUCCAGAGGAGACAGCAACUUCCUGCACACAAGACUGAUGGCACAGUUCAGGCCUCUGGCCUUCUGUUCCAGGACUCUAUGGGCAACAUAGCAAGACCCUGUCUCUAAGAAAAAUAUAAUUAAAAAAUUAGGUGGAUGUGGUGCGUGCCUGUAGUCCCAGCUACUCAGAAGGCUAAGGCAAGAUGAUCGCCUGAGCCCGGGAGGUGGAGGCUGCAGUGAACUAUGAUCGUGCCACUGCACUCCAGCCUGGAUGACAGAGUGAGACCCUGUCUCAAAUAAUAAUAACAAACAAACAAAACCAGUUUCUGUGCCUUUGACUGGGGCUGGAGGGACUACUGGCAUUGGCUCCAUUAGCACAAAGGAAUCUUGAUGUCAUUUAUUCCAUUCCUGUUUCUGGAGUGGCUCAAACCCAAGUAACCUCAAAACAGUGUGAACUGAUGCAGGAAUACACUUCCAUACACCCAUGGAAACUGAAUGUAUGUUCACACAAGAACUUACACCUGAAUGUUCACAGCAGCAUUAUACCUAACAACCAAAAAGUGAAAACAAUCCCAAUAUCCAUCAACUGAUGAGUGAUAAACAAGCUGUGGUACAUCCAUACAAGGGAAGAUUCAGCCAUAAAAAGGGAUGCGGCACUACUGAUACAUGAUACAACAUAAACAAACUUUGAAAACAUUAUGCUAAGAAGCCAGACACAAAAGAUCACAUAUUAUAUAAUUAUCUUUGUAUAAAAUGUCCAGAAUAGGCAAAUCUAUAGGGACAGAAGGUAAAUUAGUAGUUGCCUAGGGCUGUGGGGAGGGAAGAGUAGGGAGUGACUCUCUUUUUGGGGUGAUGAAAUGUUCCGAAUUACACAAUGGUGAUAACCAUCACAUUUAGUGUAUGCACAACCUAUAAAAACACUAAAACCCACUAAAUUAUAUACUUUAAAGGGGUGAAUUUUAUGGCAUAUGAAUUAUAUCCAUAAAGAAGAUUAUAAUAAAAACCAAAACAGUAUGAACAAUGAUGUGAGGGAAGUAGAGUUUUAUUCUCCAAACUGAAGUUUCUAGACUCCUGACACAUCUAGAAAUGUACUCAAUGGACAUUUCCCAAGUUUCAAUGAAAUAAUAUUCCCAAGAACCGUUUUCCAUAAAGAGUGAGACAUGAGCCCGCAUCUCAAUUCAGACCUAGCUAGAUCAACACUGUAUCCUGUAACUUUACAGAGUAGUCUAAAUCUAAGGAUGGAAGAAGACAGGAAAAUCAAAGAGAACUUCAGUUUACACCAGCUAUCUUCUAUGGAGGGAGAAGUCUUGCCCUGCGGGUUCAGGAAACACCCUCCAUACUGACAUUGUUCUGGGAGCUGGCGGCUCAACCCUUGGGGAAGAAGAGCCAUUCACCAAGGAAAGAGAGAAAGGGAAAAGCUCACAUGCCACCGCACUUGCACCCACAACCCUAACUUUCAAAACAAAGGACAAACCAGCAACCCAGCUAUUCCCACGGCCACUGGAUCCACUAGUUCAGUUCCUCUUUGGCUGUAUGACUCACCUCAGAGACCCAUACACUCCAAAGUAGGUCUACCGCACCCCCUCGCCCCAAUGGUUAUGAAAUGAGGGUGUGUAUGAGGGUGUGGGGACUAUUCUGACUUCCGUGUAAUGAAGUGCUGACACAGACCAAACUCAAGCCUGUGACUCCACUUUGCCCCUUCAUCACAUACCCCUGUAAUAAAUUUGCCUUAAUAGUGUCUUUGGCAGAGCAGAGUUUUUAAUUUUAAAGAGGUACAGUUUAUCUUUUUUUUCUUUUGUGGAUCAUGCUUUUGGUGUUGUAUCUAUCCCCAUGUUUUUACCUGUCUUUUCCACUGGGAUUAUAGGUGUGAGCCACCGCACCUGGCAUAGUUAUCCUUUUUUAAAAAGUGUUUAGUUUAAUUAUAUCAUGGUUGGUGAACAUGGUCUAUAGAAUAUAUGUUCUUUGGAAUUUGUUGAGACCUGCUUUAUGACUGAGUACAUGGUCAAGUUUUGAAAAUGUUCUAUGUGUGUGUUUGUGUGUGUGAGAGUGUGUGUGUGUGUAUAUGUUUUCUCCCUUCCUCCUUUGGAUCUACAGACUUUUCUUGAUUUCCUGCUUAUCUUCUUCUGGUUUAGAAAUUAUACAUUCUACUUUUAUUCCUUUAGUCAUUACAUUUAUUUAUUUAUUUAUUUAUUUAUGUUUUGAGACAGGGUCUCGCUCUGUUUGCCCAGGCUGGAGUGCAGUGGUGUCAUCUCAGCUCACUGCAAGUUCCGCCUCCCGGCUUUCACGCCAUUCUCCUGCCUCAGUCUCCCAAGUAGCUGGGACUACAGGUGCCCGCCACCACGCCUGGCUAAUUUUUUGUAUUUUUAGUAGAGAUGGGGUUUCACCGUGUUAGCCAGGAUGGUCUCGAUCUCCUGACCUCGUGAUCCUCCCACCUCAGCCUCCCAAAGUGCUGGAAUUACAGGCAUGAGCCAACGUGCCCGGCCCUAUUUAUUUACUUUUUUGAGACAAAGUCUUGCUCUGUUACACAGGCUGGAGUGCAGUGACAUGAUCUUGGCUCACUGCAGCCUCAACCUCCUGGGCUCAAGCGAUUCUCCCGCCUCAGCCUCCUGAGUAGCAGGGACCACAGGCUCACACCACCACGCCUGACUUAUUUUUAAAUUUUUUGUAGAGAUGGGGUCUUGCUAUAUUGCCCAGGCUGGUCUUGAACUCCUGGGCUCAAGCAAUCUGCCCAUUUUGGCCUCCCAAAGUGCUAGGAUUAUAGUCAUGAGCCACUGUGCCCGGUCUAAAUUUUUUUUAAUCGAGUUAUAACGUACAUGAAAUAAUAUGCACAAAUCUUUAAUAUCCAUUUUGCUGCAGCUUUAUAUAUAUAUAUAUACCCUUGUAAUCACCAUCAGAUUGGGCUGUAGAACAUUUUCAGCAUUUCAGAACGCUCCUUUCUGCGUCCUUCCAGUUAAUACCCCCUUACUUAAGGUGACUGCAGCCUGUGCAUAGUGGCUCAUGCCUGUAAUCCUAGCACUUUCAGAGCCUGAGGCAGGAGGAUCACGUAAGUCCAGGAGUUUGAGACCAGCCUGGGCAACACAGUGAGACACUAUCUCUACAAAUAAUUAAAAAAUUAGCUGGGCAUGGUAGCACGUAUCUGUAGUUUCAGGUACUCAGGAGGCUGAGGCUGGAAGAUUGCUUGAGCCCAAGAGUUGGAGGCUACAGUGAGCUAUGAUCUCACCCCUCCACUACAGCCUGGGCAACAGAGCAAGCACCUAUCUUU